AUGCAUAUGAUGAGUUAACUCGGAUUCCCCUUCAAGACGAAAUGGGUGAUGAAAGCUCGAGUUUUCUGAUGCG
Molecule: small nucleolar RNA, 73 nt
Organism: Corylus avellana
Lineage: Eukaryota; Viridiplantae; Streptophyta; Magnoliopsida; Fagales; Betulaceae
Product: small nucleolar RNA snoR60
Source: RefSeq, a predicted model, not a curated record